This 321-nucleotide ribosomal RNA is filed under the name uncultured Actinomycetes bacterium. RNAcentral's name for it is "bacterial SSU rRNA". It matches the Rfam family "Bacterial small subunit ribosomal RNA", at positions 28 to 351 of the family's 1533-position model. Lineage: Bacteria; Bacillati; Actinomycetota; Actinomycetes. The record is from RNAcentral.
GACGAACGCUGGCGGCGUGCUUAACACAUGCAAGUCGAGCGGUAAGGCUCCUUCGGGAGUACACGAGCGGCGAACGGGUGAGUAACACGUGAGCAACCUGCCCUUCUCAUCGGAAUAAGCGUUGGAAACGACGUCUAAUGCCGAAUAUGACUUCGGAAGGCAUCUUCUGAAGUGGAAAGCUCCGGCGGAGAAGGAUGGGCUCGCGGCCUAUCAGCUAGUUGGUGAGGUAAUGGCUCACCAAGGCGACGACGGGUAGCCGGCCUGAGAGGGUGACCGGCCACACUGGGACUGAGACACGGCCCAGACUCCUACGGGUGGCUG